This 310-nucleotide ribosomal RNA is filed under the name uncultured bacterium. RNAcentral describes it as "bacterial SSU rRNA". It matches the Rfam family "Bacterial small subunit ribosomal RNA", at positions 493 to 793 of the family's 1533-position model. The record is from RNAcentral.
CCGGCUAACUCCGUGCCAGCAGCCGCGGUAAUACGGAGGGUGCGAGCGUUAAUCGGAAUUACUGGGCGUAAAGCGCAUGCAGGUGGUUUGUUAAGUUCAGAUGUGAAAGACCCGGGGCGUCAACCUCCGGAAUAGCAUUUGAAACUAGGCAGACUAGAGUACUGUAGAGGGGGGUAGGAAGUUUCAGGUGUAGCGGUGAAAUAGCGUAGAGAUCUGAAGGAAUACCGGUGGCGAAGGCGGCCCCCUCGGACAGAUACUGACACUCAGAUGCGAAAGCGUGGGGAGCAAACAGGAUUAGAUACCCUGGUAG